GAAUCAGUGGUGUAGUGGUAGCACGCGCCUCUGAUAUGGGUAGGACGUGGGUUUGACUCCCGCCUGAGGUCG
Parelaphostrongylus tenuis is the source of this 72-nucleotide non-coding RNA. The record is from the annotation of a GenBank genome assembly. NCBI's taxonomy places the organism in Eukaryota, Metazoa, Nematoda, Chromadorea, Rhabditida, Metastrongylidae.